GAGGUAAAGAAGCAGUUAAGGAGAUAAAGCGUUUAAAGAUAGAUGAUGUUUUUCUCUAUCAGUGGUACAUCGAUCAGGGCGUCUACUGCUACAUUAGGUACCUGAAUUCGAAACCUGCAGCAUUUGCGCUAAUAUCAAGAAUGAACUUCGAUCCUCUAGAUAUUCAUAAAAAUCCUAAGAUGCUGAAUUACGUCUAUACUUUACCGGAGUAUCGAAGAAGAGGAUAUGCCACCGAACUUGUGACUCACAUCAUUGGCGUUACUGAAUUUUCAGCAUUUUGUUCCAACGAGGAGUCCGAAAAAUUGUUUGAAAAAUGCAAUUGCACAAAUCACGGUAUAGUAAAUAACGCCGUAAUGUUUAGAUACCCUUAAUAAAACACGUUUUGCAUAAAUUGUUUUUAUUCCUAAUAUACCUAUAAAUAGAUUAAUGACCUAUAAAUAGAAUUUGCUUAUACCAACCUAUAUAACUUUCGCAACUCCCUAUACAUUUAUUAUCGAAUUUAUCGUAACGUUGAGUGGUAUCAUUGAAUAAAAACACUAUUUUUAUUCAAUGGUGGUAUCUAGGAGGAGUUCGCUAUAUAUGCGAUACAUUAUUCAGAUUUUUCCCAUUCCAAUUCGAUCAUUCGUUGAGAUCAGUCGUAUUGUAUCUGUUGGUGCGAAUUUAUUAGUCGUAUUUUAUCUGUUAGUGUGUAUUUUCUUAAACGUAUUAUAUCUAUAGCUCAAGGUGCGGCCAUCAUCUUUGGCCCAUUGCAGACGGCCUAUGGUAAAUACGCCACAUAUCUAUCACACGUUUAACCAUAUAUUUGUAGAACGAGAACUCCGAACAUAUCUCAAACAAAAAUAUGGAUCUGAAAAUGUUGCUAUUUUACGGGGUCGGGGGGUAAUCCCUGACUCCGUAAAGAUAGAGGAAGGUAGCUUCCUGGGGCGGAGGUUCCAGGUCUUUAAGGACCUGGAACUACAAAACACGUACUGGGUGUUUUAUAACUAAUAAACCCGCAUUAAAUUUUGUUUUGUUUUACUUAUUCACUCCAUUCUGACUAAGCCCUUACCUAAAAUAAUAAGAUGUAGUGAUUAGGGUGUUAUCAUUUCUUCCGUAAAACAAGUGUUAUAGAUAUUAAAUUAAGAAGCUCACCUUAUAAUCAAUAUUAUCGUUAUAUAAAUGUAGAUCCGAGAAAAAUUGAUUUAACUGAAUACCAAACAAAUUGAUGUAAUACAUAAUAUUUCACAAUGUUAUCGCAUUUAUUUAUCACAACUGUAUUAUUCUCUACUCCUGAUCAAUAAAUGUGAAGUAUAGAUAUUAAUAAUAAUAAUAAAUCCGCACGCCGUUUAACCAAUAACCAUGAUGAUGAAGUCAAUCCUCCAUUGGAGUUUGAUAUCGUCUAAAAAAGAUAUCAAUGUAGGCUUUUAUUACAAAAUAAUUUUGAUACUUACGGUCCAACUCUGAUGUAGACUAUGUUUUCUGCUGUCAGCUUAUUACUUAUAAACGCCCAUAUAAAAUAAUCGCUGAAUAAAUACAAUAAAAUGUCCCGCAAAUUAUGCGCGCAAGGACACGUAUCCCUAAGAAAAGUAAAUUAUAAGCAACUAAAAAUUGAAAAAAGGCUUACCUGAGGUAUAUAAGAAGGCGCCUGUCUAAGUAGGUGUAUACCCACAUGCACUUUUUGAAAUCGGAUUGCGGAUGCACGCCGUUUUUAUGGGAGAUUUUCGAACUUUACGCAUUCAUACACAAUAAAACCCGUAUAUAGGUGUCGAUGUGGAAAUGAAAUGAGAUAAAGUACCAUAUCAAAUUCGCGAGCACGCGCUGCUAUAAAUAAACACUAUCGCAAGAUUGAAACUUUCCAUACCAAUUAUUAGAAUAAUGACAUCUGCGAACUCUGUUCUCUUAUUGCUUUAAUGACAUCUGCGAACUCUGUUCUCUUAUUGCUUUCGCAACUUAAUAGUUAUUAUUUUAGAUCGAGAAAUGUGCAAUCAUUUUUGCGAGGAGUCGAGGUAAACUAUACGUUUUAACCGUAUAUUUGUAGAACAAGAAACUACUAUUAUUUUCGGCGGGAUAAACCCAGCGAGAACGGAGCGGGGGAUUUCCAAUUAUGAAUAACAAUGCUGUCAUUAAAAUGGGCGUUGCUGACGUCGAGGCUCUCUUCGACGCAAAUUUUAUGUAAGUAGAGUAAGCGCUUUAAUUGUAAUAAUAAACUUCAAAUCACUAUUUCCGCUGUAAAUAAAAACACCCUACAUUUUGUUUGUUGUUUUUUCCCUGCCCACUCCUGUUCUGGUUAUAGGGAACCUACCUCCGAUAUGGAAUUAUAGGUAAGAAUGAGGGUCCUCGCACCUGUCUCCUGAAAUUACAAUUUCCUACCCUAGUCGCAUCAAUCUAAUAGAGGGAGUCGGAUGAAAAUAUACCUCUAUAUGCAUUACGACGCCAAUAGAUGGCGCCUCCGUAUCAAAUCGCUAUUUCAGCUCUAAAUAAAAACGCUCUACAUUUUG
This is an RNA transcript of Photinus pyralis (common eastern firefly), 2477 nucleotides long. RefSeq lists it as uncharacterized. Lineage: Eukaryota; Metazoa; Arthropoda; Insecta; Coleoptera; Lampyridae. The transcript has 5 exons. The record is from RefSeq and is a predicted model, not a curated record.